This 406-nucleotide ribosomal RNA is filed under the name uncultured bacterium. RNAcentral describes it as "partial 16S ribosomal RNA". It matches the Rfam family "Bacterial small subunit ribosomal RNA", at positions 30 to 526 of the family's 1533-position model. The record is from RNAcentral.
AUUGAACGCUGGCGGCAGGCCUAACACAUGCAAGUCGAACGAGUGGCGGAAGGGUGAGUAAUGUCUGGGAAACUGCCUGAUGGAGGGGGAUAACUACUGGAAACGGUAGCUAAUACCGCAUACCAUCAGAAGUGCCCAGAUGGGAUUAGCUUGUUGGUGGGGUAACGGCUCACCAAGGCGACGAUCCCUAGCUGGUCUGAGAGGAUGACCGGCCACACUGGAACUGAGACACGGUCCAGACUCCUACGGGAGGCAGCAGUGGGGAAUAUUGCUCAAUGGGCGCAAGCCUGAUGCAGCCAUGCGGCGUGUAUGAAGAAGGCCUUCGGGUUGUAAAGUACUGUCAGCGGUGAUGCGUUACCCGCAGAAGAAGCACCGGCUAACUCCGUGCCAGCAGCCGCGGUAAUAC